This 611-nucleotide unclassified non-coding RNA is filed under the name Andesanthus wurdackii. RNAcentral describes it as "Tibouchina wurdackii partial may contain 26S ribosomal RNA, external transcribed spacer, 18S ribosomal RNA". Lineage: Eukaryota; Viridiplantae; Streptophyta; Magnoliopsida; Myrtales; Melastomataceae. The record is from RNAcentral.
AGGCUUGUCCGGGUUGCGUCUCGAUCGUCCGGUCGCUCCUCCUUUCGGAGGUGGCGUCGGGCUGUCGGACAACCCCCGGGCAGCGUUGGGACGACGCGUGAGUGGCAAUCAGGACAGGUUUCCUUUGCAGGCUCCGUGCUUCUCGCAUCGAACUGCUUCGGUCUGUCCGUCUCAUUUGAUCGCUCGCCUCGAUGCCCCGAGGGUCGGUCGCGAGUGAAGGGUGGGUUCCUGUGCUUGAUACCGGAUUUCGGUACUCGGAUUCAAUGGUGUCCACGUCUUGGUUCCCUUGUUCCUCCUCCGCCUCCCGUGCGUUGGUGGUUAUCGUGCGGGCAUCGACGCCUUCCGUCCGGGCGGUCGUCCACCUCUGGGGCGUUUCCGCUCGUGUCGGCGCGUCGAUGCCGUCCGCGUGCUCUUGGGUACGGAGAUAUCUCUUCUUGUAGCGCGGUCCUCUGUUGGCCGUUGCGAUCUCGGCUUGUCUAUAAGCUUCUUUGCUUCCGCUCGGUUGACCCUCGUGCUUUCCUUGGUGCUCACGGAGCCUCUCCUCUCCGUGUUCGUCCUUGGGAGGCAUCGAGGUCUACAAUGGAAUGCUACCUGGUUGAUCCUGCCAGUAG